UUUCCUACGGGAGGCAGCAGUGAGGAAUAUUGGUCAAUGGGCGGAAGCCUGAACCAGCCAAGUCGCGUGAGGGAAUAAGGCCCUACGGGUCGUAAACCUCUUUUGCCGGGGAGCAAGGGCCGGGACGCGUCCCGGCCCGGAGAGUACCCGGAGAAAAAGCAUCGGCUAACUCCGUGCCAGCAGCCGCGGUAAUACGGAGGGUGCGAGCGUUAAUCGGAAUUACUGGGCGUAAAGGGUGUGCAGGCGGCUGAGUAAGACAGCUGUGAA
This 267-nucleotide ribosomal RNA is filed under the name uncultured bacterium. RNAcentral describes it as "partial 16S ribosomal RNA". It matches the Rfam family "Bacterial small subunit ribosomal RNA", at positions 335 to 598 of the family's 1533-position model. The record is from RNAcentral.